GUGAGUGAGAAAAAAUGGAGUACAACGAAUACGAACCUGAACCUCAAUAUGUAGAAGACGAUGAUGAUGAGGAAAUUACCCAGGAGGACGCGUGGGCUGUUAUAUCUGCUUAUUUCGAAGAGAAAGGUCUCGUUCGUCAGCAGCUCGAUUCGUUUGAUGAGUUUAUUCAGAAUACUAUGCAAGAAAUCGUUGAUGAGUCUGCUGAUAUAGAGAUCCGACCUGAAUCUCAGCACAAUCCUGGCCAUCAGUCCGAUUUUGCGGAGGUUGUUUUUCUAGGGUUUCUAUGGGAAUUCGAAAUUAUGUGCGGGUUUAUCGUGUUUGUGGCGGUUUUUAAGUGUUUCGAUUUGAGCUUCUACCGUUUGGGUGUGCAAUUAGGGUUUGCCUUUCGAGUAGCGAAUCUCAUUGAUGUCCCGAAACUG
This 419-nucleotide long non-coding RNA is filed under the name Arabidopsis lyrata. Its description in RNAcentral is "long non-coding RNA (ALYR_LNC000862)". Lineage: Eukaryota; Viridiplantae; Streptophyta; Magnoliopsida; Brassicales; Brassicaceae. The record is from RNAcentral.